CAACCUCUUUCAGCAGGGACGAAGCGCAAGUGACGGUACCUGCAGAAGAAGCACCGGCCAACUACGUGCCAGCAGCCGCGGUAAUACGUAGGGUGCGAGCGUUGUCCGGAAUUACUGGGCGUAAAGAGCUCGUAGGCGGUUUGUCGCGUCGUCUGUGAAAACCCGCAGCUCAACUGCGGGCUUGCAGGCGAUACGGGCAGACUUGAGUACUGCAGGGGAGACUGGAAUUCCUGGUGUAGCGGUGAAAUGCGCAGAUAUCAGGAGGAACACCGGUGGCGAAGGCGGGUCUCUGGGCAGUAACUGACGCUGAGGAGCGAAAGCGUGGGUAGCGAACAGGAUUAGAUACCCUGGUAGUC
RNAcentral lists this ribosomal RNA (356 nucleotides) under uncultured Rhodococcus sp. RNAcentral's name for it is "bacterial SSU rRNA". It matches the Rfam family "Bacterial small subunit ribosomal RNA", at positions 427 to 795 of the family's 1533-position model. The record is from RNAcentral. Lineage: Bacteria; Bacillati; Actinomycetota; Actinomycetes; Mycobacteriales; Nocardiaceae.